Molecule: transfer RNA, 74 nt
Filed under: Paraglaciecola psychrophila 170
Lineage: Bacteria; Pseudomonadati; Pseudomonadota; Gammaproteobacteria; Alteromonadales; Alteromonadaceae
Also listed under: 1 other name
Rfam family: tRNA
About the family: Transfer RNA (tRNA) molecules are approximately 80 nucleotides in length.
Source: Rfam by way of RNAcentral
GGCAACAUAGCUCAGCUGGUUAGAGCACAUCACUCAUAAUGAUGGGGUCGCAGGUUCGAGUCCCGCUGUUGCCA